This 113-nucleotide ribosomal RNA is filed under the name Frullania sp. B BlS-2016. RNAcentral describes it as "partial 5.8S ribosomal RNA". It matches the Rfam family "5.8S ribosomal RNA", at positions 43 to 154 of the family's 154-position model. Rfam says of the family: 5.8S ribosomal RNA (5.8S rRNA) is a component of the large subunit of the eukaryotic ribosome. It is transcribed by RNA polymerase I as part of the 45S precursor that also contains 18S and 28S rRNA. Functionally, it is thought that 5.8S rRNA may be involved in ribosome translocation. Lineage: Eukaryota; Viridiplantae; Streptophyta; Jungermanniopsida; Porellales; Frullaniaceae. The record is from RNAcentral.
ACGCAGCGAAAUGCGAUACCUAGUGUGAAUUGCAGAAUUCCGCGAAUCAUCGAGUUUUUGAACGCAAGUUGCGCCCGAGGCUCGUACCGAGGGCAUGUCUGUCUGAGCGUCCU